RNAcentral lists this long non-coding RNA (695 nucleotides) under Anser brachyrhynchus (Pink-footed goose). Its description in RNAcentral is "lncRNA (ENSABRG00000012572.1)". Lineage: Eukaryota; Metazoa; Chordata; Aves; Anseriformes; Anatidae. The record is from RNAcentral.
UUCCUUCAAAAACAGUGUCUUGCAUGUACUUUCAUAUCACCUUCUUUGCCAAAGUCUAAGCAUGACAGGAGACCAUGGUUUACUGGCAAACAGGAGACCAUGUUUACUUCACCCAUUAUAGUUACAAGUGAUGUUCAACUGGGGCUACAUGCUACUCUCUUUCGUAGCAGCCUAGAAUUAUUCAGUUAUUUAAGUCAUUAAGCCAUUAAACAUUUUUGCCAGGGGUCAGACUGCCUGCUCCAGAUUCCUUACCAGAUGAAGAUUGUUGCUAAGGUAACAGCCAACAUCAGCUCCCUCUGUAUCCGUGGUCCCCCCCUCCCAGCAGCAUACUUGGAAACUUAUUUCUUUCUGACUGAGCUACUCGCAUGUUUGGAGAGAUGAAUGCCCAAUGCUCUUUUCACAGUCUGCAGAGGAGAAUCAGAUGAAUUCUGCACAUCUGUCUGGUCCGUCCCCUAAAGGUUAACUGCUGGAUGCAAUGCAGAAGAGAUACAACCAGAGAAGAGCAGGUCCCUGCUGGGAUCGGAAUCAGAGCUACUGGCGUGAUUAAACUGAGACAGAUUUACUGUUGCCUGCCAGCCUCCAAUGGUCAGCACAGCCCAUGGAGAAGGACCUCACUGGAAUUUCAGAGGUGCUGAAAGCAAUACCCUAAGAGACUUGAAGUUUGAAAGAAGACUUACAAGUAGGGCCGACGAAAU